Herpailurus yagouaroundi (jaguarundi) is the source of this 1302-nucleotide long non-coding RNA. RefSeq lists it as uncharacterized. Lineage: Eukaryota; Metazoa; Chordata; Mammalia; Carnivora; Felidae. The transcript is spliced from 2 exons. The record is from RefSeq and is a predicted model, not a curated record.
ACACACACACACACACACACACACACAUAAUGGCAAAGGCCAGUGCCUUAACAAAGCACAACAGUGAUACAUUUAUUAAUGAAUGCAUAGUUAUUAAUUAAGGUCCUAAUUGUAAAUUCCUUAUAAAUUAAGUAAUGAUUUAGAAAUUAUUCAUAUAAGAAUAUAUUCUAACUCUGGAAUCUUGCUUCCCUAAGAAAUUGACAUAUACUUGUUUUGCCUGUGGAAACAUAAAAGUAUUUUCUAAAAGCAAAUAAGUAUUUUCUAAAAGCACUAACAAAGCAAAAAAAUUUAUAUCAAACCAACGGUGAUUAGAUUUGAUAAUGCAAAUGUGAACUGACUUCUAAAUAAGAAAGGUACAAUUUUUCUUCCUUUUGGUUAAACAUAUAUCCUUUAUAUGCUAUAAUAGAUUUCAUGUACCUACACAAACACAUACCUAUAAGUAAUGUCCUGAACAAUAAAUAUGUUCUGGAAGUGAACUUCCAUGUCAUUCUACCUUAGUGCCCUCACAAAGGAAAGAAGAAUUAUGACACUUCCCCCAAGGCAAGUAAACUUAUUUUUUAACAAAUGCUACUAAUAAAUUUUACUCAGUCAUAUGCUUUCCUUAGUCUAACAAUUUUGUCACUGUAUUUGCCUUUUAGAGUGUAUAUAAAAUAUGUGUGUGGUUUUCUUUUUUUGUUCAUUACAGGUUUUUCUCCACUUAGAGCAUUUGGAAGGAAACAUAUUUGCCUCUGUAAAGUACUAGUUCCUUCUGUAACAUCAGAUGUUACAGGUAACAGAGUUGGAGAAUCGUAUAAGUAUGGGAAUUCUGGGUGGCGAGAAUAUCAAUGAAGAUCAGAGCACCCAAGACCUGCACAGCCAAGUAAUCAAAGAACAGGCCAAGACUUGAAGAAUAAUGGAACCUACAGUCAGAAGUAUUCUAGUGGAUUGUGAACAAAUAAAUCAGAAGGGAAGAAUACUAAUGUACACUUUCCCUGGAAGAGUUACCUUCAAUGGUACUGAGGUCUUCUCAGUAAGGUUUAUUACAAAUUUUACUAUCUCCCAGGAGAAGGGGAAGUAGGUAUAAGGAAUUGAUUGUGUGAGUUUAAUUGCCCAGGCCACAGCAAACCAAAACACCCCUUAGAACCAGGGCCAGCGUCCUGGGAUUUAGCUCUUAUGUGGGGAAGGAUCUGUGCCUCUUCCAAAGGGUGAACCAGUAACGGAAGUUACUUGUAUUCUGAAAACAUCACAAAAAGGGCAUCUAUAUACAACAGAUUGAAAUUUUCCAUAGUAUUUAUUUUAUAAAUAAAGCAUUUUUCCUGCUUA